AAUAUUGCACAAUGGGCGCAAGCCUGAUGCAGCGACGCCGCGUGGAGGAUGAAGGCUUUCGGGUCGUAAACUCCUGUCUGGGGGGAUGAAUACUGACAGUACCCCCGGAGGAAGCCCCGGCUAACUACGUGCCAGCAGCCGCGGUAAUACGUAGAGGGCGAGAGUUGUCCGGAAUUACUGGGCGUAAAGGGUGCGUAGGCGGCCGAUUAAGUCAGAUGUGAAAUACCACGGCUCAACUGUGGGGGUGCAUAUGAAACUGGUUGGCUUGAGUGCAGGAGAGGAAAGUGGAAUUCCUAGUGUAGCGGUGAAAUGCGUAGAGAUUAGGAGGAACACCAGUGGCGAAGGCGACUUUCUGGACUGUAACUGACGCUGAGGCACGAAAGCGUGGGGAGCAAAC
This 397-nucleotide ribosomal RNA is filed under the name uncultured bacterium. RNAcentral describes it as "partial 16S ribosomal RNA". It matches the Rfam family "Bacterial small subunit ribosomal RNA", at positions 360 to 773 of the family's 1533-position model. The record is from RNAcentral.